RNAcentral lists this non-coding RNA (21 nucleotides) under Arabidopsis thaliana (thale cress). Lineage: Eukaryota; Viridiplantae; Streptophyta; Magnoliopsida; Brassicales; Brassicaceae. The record is from RNAcentral.
CGCAGCGAUACUGACGUGCAA